RNAcentral lists this transfer RNA (75 nucleotides) under Avena sativa (oats). RNAcentral describes it as "tRNA-Glu". The stretch from base 10 to 64 matches the Rfam family "tRNA", at positions 10 to 63 of the family's 71-position model. Rfam says of the family: Transfer RNA (tRNA) molecules are approximately 80 nucleotides in length. RNAcentral also lists the same sequence under 2 other names. The record is from RNAcentral. Lineage: Eukaryota; Viridiplantae; Streptophyta; Magnoliopsida; Poales; Poaceae.
GUCCCUUUCAUCCAGAGGUUAGGAUAUCGUCUUUUCAUGUCGAAGACACGGGUUCGAUUCCCUUUAUACGCGAUG